ACAGAGGGUGCAAGCGUUGUUCGGAAUUAUUGGGCGUAAAGGGCAGGUAGGUGGUCUAUCAAGAUUGCUGUGAAGACCCCAGGCUUAACCUGGGACGUGCGGCGAUGACUGAUGGACUAGAGUACUGGAGGGGUUUGUGGAAUUCCCGGUGUAGCGGUGAAAUGCGUAGGUAUCGGGAGGAACACCAGAGGCGAAGGCGGCAAACUGGACAGUAACUGACACUCAACUGCGAAAGCGUGGGUAGCAAACAGGA
This 253-nucleotide ribosomal RNA is filed under the name uncultured prokaryote. RNAcentral describes it as "partial 16S ribosomal RNA". It matches the Rfam family "Bacterial small subunit ribosomal RNA", at positions 525 to 777 of the family's 1533-position model. The record is from RNAcentral.